GCUGCACGUAUCUUUGACGCCGUUACAUGUGCCGUUAAAUACGAACUACGCAACAUUAUGAUCGUGGUGUCGUUUCAUAGGCGGACACACUCGCCUAGCUUUCUUUUGACGAAAAAUGCAGACGGAUUGUAGCGAUCGCGCUUCAAUCGGUUUUGACUUAUGACUCUCGCCAUUUAAGGACGGCACAAUUGACGAUAGCCUUAGAAGGUCCAGCCAUUUCUCAGAAAACGUCUCUCCGAUUAAUUCUUGCAAGAGCUUCUCUUUCACGCCAUUGAUUGAAGUCGUCUCGACAGGCUGUUACGAACAGAGUUGGAGAACAGUUUGAAACGUGAUUACAUCUGCUGUUCUUAGCGCAGGCAAUUGUCUAGUGCGAGCGAUUGUGCUUCCGUUAGCGUUGGCUUCGCCGUUUCCAGACGUGAAUUAUCACGAGAGUAUGGCGUUGAUUUCGGUCAUGGCGUACAAGGCUGUUGAGCAUGUAAAGCAGGCAGGCGCGUUCGACGCAGCUAACGAGACCACCAGUGGCACGACCGGUAACGCCCUGAACGCAGAGGCCGCUGUUAACACACGUCGGUUGUAUAUGAAGAGAUAGCUGAGCACGCCUACAAAGAUUACGUAAUGGAGUCUCGAUUUGACGUCCUUGCGGUUGUCGCGAACGUGUCAGCAACUGUACCCCCGCCAGCUCGUUACAAUGGCAAAUUGAUGAACAGCAUUUGGGGUCUUUACAACAUGCACGCCUCGCAUGCUUUCCAGAAAAACAUCGAGCUCGCUCCAGGGGUGGCCCACCCCUCGGUGACCCAGAACGGCUCCAGAUUUUGAAAAACAAACUUAGUUCGCAGCGUGGAAAUCGCAUAAGGGGGCUUGCAGUUGGAGCAUAUGAAGGUUUGGGUUUCACGUAUCAGUCGCAAAAAAGAAAUGAUGUCGGCAAGCAGUAAGUUUCCGGUUUAAUUUCUAUCACUUACUUCUGGUCAUUGUCCGCUGCAAAAAUCGGUUGCCUUUGAAAAAGUCGUUCCGAGCUGUCCUCUUUCAUGUAGGCCAUCGGCAGGCCCAUGUCAGCUUGUUUCGGCUCCGAAACAUGCUCUCUAUUCUAGCUGCGUAUCUAACUUUCUAUAACUUAUUAUUAUUAUUAUUGAUUUACAUAAUAGUAAACAACUUCCUUAGCCAUUAACUCACUCAACAUAUCUGCCAGAAAUGGGAAAGCAAAAAGCUUUAGCAGGGUCGCUGCUUUAGUAUUUAGAUUGUUGAGGUACAAUUGAUAGGAUGACACGUAGCUCCAGGUAGAUAUUAUUCGACGUUUAGCAGUUCAAUGGAUUUAAGUAGGAUGAUUAUUCGCGAAACGGCGCUGAUGGCGUACAUUGCCUCACGCGAACACUCAUUUUAAAACCAGUAAUUUUUUUCCAAGUUUUGGCCUGUCGUUGACUCAUUGCCUUCAUGCGUUGGCACGACCGCUCGUUAGCUGGUUUCAAAUUAGGUAUGAUUUAAGGCUUAUUUUCGACAGUGAAUAUAUUUAUUGUUAGACAAUUGAAUUUCAAUUUUUUGGUUACACAAAAGUGUACUCUCGCUGUCUCAACUGAGGUAAAGCUUCAACCUUUCAGAAAUGACAGAUGACAGGGGAGGCCGUCGAGAGAAGUCAUCUAGGAGAAUCACAUAUAGGAAAAGGUUUCAACGCGUUGAAAGGAAGAAAACUGCGAACGAAAGAUCCGAAGAGCUUUCUCAAAACGAAACUGGGCUAGCUUCAACCGUUAUUAUCGGCUGAAGUAGAACAUCACUCUUCAUUCACUUAGACAUUUUCCGCCUCGGGCUCACCCGAAGCCCGUUCCUAGCUUUUUAAAACAAAUGAAAAACGAACAAACAUACGUUUUACGCAAAAUCUCUCUAAGUGAAGAUAACGAUUUGAAGUCAUUAACAUGUCGAAGCAACUAUUCUCAAAACAGGACAAAAGUUCGCUAGAAACCGGUCAAAGUUUAAAUAUCCACAGUUACCCACAUCUUGUUUUUAAAUUACUAAAUUUCAUAAAAGCUUUAUUCUUGAAUAGUUUUUUUUGUUUUUUGUUUUUUUUUUUUUUCGCACAUAACGGCAGCAGUUGAUCAAUAGACUCAAAAAAAAAUAGGGGUGCCAUAUAAAAACUGGUAGACACGUUAGGCUGUGAGAUGCCAUCGCGUCCGUUCUUCUACAAGGCUAUUACAAUAUCUACAUAAUCUUAUAACAUCAGGUAGCUGUCUUGGGGGUUGCCCAAGGACACGGUCCCCUUUGUCCAUAAAGAAAAGUAUACUAUUGAUACAUAAACAAACAAUUGUAAUAAUACCAAUAUUACCAUGUUGCUGGCUUGCUUUAUACGCUAGGAGUGCGAGAAGAAUAACAACGAAAUCCAGCUAUUUCGGUAACACGUGCAGAGGGUUGCGGUUAUUACGUAGCAUCGUUAUAAAUCGUAAGUACCAGGCUGGACCUUCUGAGUCAUCACUGAGUGGGACAUCUGUACCAGAAUCGUAAUCGUUGAGAUCAAUAAAGCACAAUCAUGUGCCCAGUUUGACUGUUCAAUUUGU
Varroa destructor (honeybee mite) is the source of this 2540-nucleotide non-coding RNA. Lineage: Eukaryota; Metazoa; Arthropoda; Arachnida; Mesostigmata; Varroidae. The record is from RefSeq and is a predicted model, not a curated record.